This 253-nucleotide ribosomal RNA is filed under the name uncultured bacterium. RNAcentral's name for it is "partial 16S ribosomal RNA". It matches the Rfam family "Bacterial small subunit ribosomal RNA", at positions 524 to 776 of the family's 1533-position model. The record is from RNAcentral.
GACGAACCGUGCAAACGUUAUUCGGAAUCACUGGGCCUAAAGGGCGCGUAGGCGGCUUCACAAGUCAGGGGUGAAAUCCGGCAGCUUAACUGUCGCAGUGCCUUUGAUACUGUGAAGCUCGAGGGAGGUAGGGGUCUGUGGAACUUCCGGUGGAGCGGUGAAAUGCGUUGAUAUCGGAAGGAACGCCGGUGGCGAAAGCGACGGACUGGAUCUCUUCUGACGCUGAGGCGCGAAAGCCAGGGGAGCAAACGGG